UGUAAUAUCAAAGGGGUCCGCUGACAUU
Molecule: small RNA, 28 nt
Filed under: Bombyx mori (domestic silkworm)
Lineage: Eukaryota; Metazoa; Arthropoda; Insecta; Lepidoptera; Bombycidae
Description: ovarian small RNA-35361
Source: RNAcentral